This 72-nucleotide transfer RNA is filed under the name Candidatus Pacearchaeota archaeon RBG_13_36_9. Its description in RNAcentral is "tRNA-Gly". It matches the Rfam family "tRNA". Rfam says of the family: Transfer RNA (tRNA) molecules are approximately 80 nucleotides in length. Their secondary structure includes four short double-helical elements and three loops (D, anti-codon, and T loops). Further hydrogen bonds mediate the characteristic L-shaped molecular structure. tRNAs have two regions of fundamental functional importance: the anti-codon, which is responsible for specific mRNA codon recognition, and the 3' end, to which the tRNAs corresponding amino acid is attached (by aminoacyl-tRNA synthetases). tRNAs cope with the degeneracy of the genetic code in two manners: having more than one tRNA (with a specific anti-codon) for a particular amino acid; and 'wobble' base-pairing, i.e. permitting non-standard base-pairing at the 3rd anti-codon position. Lineage: Archaea; Nanobdellati. The record is from RNAcentral.
GCGGCUUUGGUCUAACGGCUAUGACACGACCUUCCCAAGGUCGUUGCGCGGGUUCAACUCCCGCAAGCCGCA